GGUUAAGCGACUAAGCGUACACGGUGGAUGCCCUGGCAGUCAGAGGCGAUGAAGGACGUGCUAAUCUGCGAAAAGCGUCGGUAAGGUGAUAUGAACCGUUAUAGCCGGCGAUGUCCGAAUGGGGAAACCCAGUGUGAUUCGUCACACUAUCGUUAACUGAAUACAUAGGUUAACGAGGCGAACCGGGGGAACUGAAACAUCUAAGUACCCCGAGGAAAAGAAAUCAACCGAGAUUCCCCCAGUAGCGGCGAGCGAACGGGGAGCAGCCCAGAGUCUGAAUCAGCUUGUGUGUUAGUGGAACGGUCUGGAAAGUCCGACGGUACAGGGUGAUAGUCCCGUACACCAAAAUGCACAGGUUGUGAACUCGAAGAGUAGGGCGGGACACGUGGUAUCCUGUCUGAAUAUGGGGGGACCAUCCUCCAAGGCUAAAUACUCCUGACUGACCGAUAGUGAACCAGUACCGUGAGGGAAAGGCGAAAAGAACCCCGGCGAGGGGAGUGAAAAAGAACCUGAAACCGUGUACGUACAAGCAGUGGGAGCACCUUCGGGUGUGACUGCGUACCUUUUGUAUAAUGGGUCAGCGACUUAUAUUCUGUAGCAAGGUUAACCGUAUAGGGGAGCCGCAGGGAAACCGAGUCUUAACUGGGCGUUAAGUUGCAGGGUAUAGACCCGAAACCCGGUGAUCUAGCCAUGGGCAGGUUGAAGGUUGGGUAACACUAACUGGAGGACCGAACCGACUAAUGUUGAAAAAUUAGCGGAUGACUUGUGGCUGGGGGUGAAAGGCCAAUCAAACCGGGAGAUAGCUGGUUCUCCCCGAAAGCUAUUUAGGUAGCGCCUCGUGAACUCAUCUUCGGGGGUAGAGCACUGUUUCGGCUAGGGGGUCAUCCCGACUUACCAACCCGAUGCAAACUACGAAUACCGAAGAAUGUUAUCACGGGAGACACACGGCGGGUGCUAACGUCCGUCGUGAAGAGGGAAACAACCCAGACCGCCAGCUAAGGUCCCAAAGUCAUGGUUAAGUGGGAAACGAUGUGGGAAGGCACAGACAGCCAGGAUGUUGGCUUAGAAGCAGCCAUCAUUUAAAGAAAGCGUAAUAGCUCACUGGUCGAGUCGGCCUGCGCGGAAGAUGUAACGGGGCUAAACCAUGCACCGAAGCUGCGGCAGCGACACUAUGUGUUGUUGGGUAGGGGAGCGUUCUGUAAGCCUGCGAAGGUGACCUGUGAGGGUUGCUGGAGGUAUCAGAAGUGCGAAUGCUGACAUAAGUAACGAUAAAGCGGGUGAAAAGCCCGCUCGCCGGAAGACCAAGGGUUCCUGUCCAACGUUAAUCGGGGCAGGGUGAGUCGACCCCUAAGGCGAGGCCGAAAGGCGUAGUCGAUGGGAAACAGGUUAAUAUUCCUGUACUUGGUGUUACUGCGAAGGGGGGACGGAGAAGGCUAUGUUAGCCGGGCGACGGUUGUCCCGGUUUAAGCAUGUAGGCUGGUUGUCCAGGCAAAUCCGGAUAAUCAAGGCUGAGGUGUGAUGACGAGGCACUACGGUGCUGAAGUAACAAAUGCCCUGCUUCCAGGAAAAGCCUCUAAGCAUCAGGUAACAUCAAAUCGUACCCCAAACCGACACAGGUGGUCAGGUAGAGAAUACCAAGGCGCUUGAGAGAACUCGGGUGAAGGAACUAGGCAAAAUGGUGCCGUAACUUCGGGAGAAGGCACGCUGGUGUGUAGGUGAAGUCCCUGCGGAUGGAGCUGAGACCAGUCGAAGAUACCAGCUGGCUGCAACUGUUUAUUAAAAACACAGCACUGUGCAAACACGAAAGUGGACGUAUACGGUGUGACGCCUGCCCGGUGCCGGAAGGUUAAUUGAUGGGGUUAUCCGUAAGGAGAAGCUCUUGAUCGAAGCCCCGGUAAACGGCGGCCGUAACUAUAACGGUCCUAAGGUAGCGAAAUUCCUUGUCGGGUAAGUUCCGACCUGCACGAAUGGCGUAAUGAUGGCCAGGCUGUCUCCACCCGAGACUCAGUGAAAUUGAACUCGCUGUGAAGAUGCAGUGUACCCGCGGCAAGACGGAAAGACCCCGUGAACCUUUACUAUAGCUUGACACUGAACAUUGAGCCUUGAUGUGUAGGAUAGGUGGGAGGCUUUGAAGCGUGGACGCCAGUCUGCGUGGAGCCAACCUUGAAAUACCACCCUUUAAUGUUUGAUGUUCUAACGUUGGCCCCUGACCGGGGUUGCGGACAGUGUCUGGUGGGUAGUUUGACUGGGGCGGUCUCCUCCCAAAGCGUAACGGAGGAGCACGAAGGUUAGCUAAUCCUGGUCGGACAUCAGGAGGUUAGUGCAAUGGCAUAAGCUAGCUUGACUGCGAGCGUGACGGCGCGAGCAGGUGCGAAAGCAGGUCAUAGUGAUCCGGUGGUUCUGAAUGGAAGGGCCAUCGCUCAACGGAUAAAAGGUACUCCGGGGAUAACAGGCUGAUACCGCCCAAGAGUUCAUAUCGACGGCGGUGUUUGGCACCUCGAUGUCGGCUCAUCACAUCCUGGGGCUGAAGUAGGUCCCAAGGGUAUGGCUGUUCGCCAUUUAAAGUGGUACGCGAGCUGGGUUUAGAACGUCGUGAGACAGUUCGGUCCCUAUCUGCCGUGGGCGCUGGAGAAUUGAGGGGGGCUGCUCCUAGUACGAGAGGACCGGAGUGGACGCAUCACUGGUGUUCGGGUUGUCAUGCCAAUGGCACUGCCCGGUAGCUAAAUGCGGAAGAGAUAAGUGCUGAAAGCAUCUAAGCACGAAACUUGCCCCGAGAUGAGUUCUCCCUGAGACUUUAAGUCUCCUGAAGGAACGUUGAAGACGACGACGUUGAUAGGCCGGGUGUGUAAGCGCAGCGAUGCGUUGAGCUAACCGGUACUAAUGAACCGUGAGGCUUAACCUU
Molecule: ribosomal RNA, 2902 nt
Filed under: Klebsiella pneumoniae
Lineage: Bacteria; Pseudomonadati; Pseudomonadota; Gammaproteobacteria; Enterobacterales; Enterobacteriaceae
Description: 23S ribosomal RNA
Rfam family: Bacterial large subunit ribosomal RNA
Source: RNAcentral